RNAcentral lists this ribosomal RNA (465 nucleotides) under uncultured bacterium. RNAcentral's name for it is "partial 16S ribosomal RNA". It matches the Rfam family "Bacterial small subunit ribosomal RNA", at positions 28 to 507 of the family's 1533-position model. The record is from RNAcentral.
GACGAACGCUGGCGGCGUGCUUAACACAUGCAAGUCGAACGGAAAGGCCCCCUUGUGGGGUACUCGAGUGGCGAACGGGUGAGUAACACGUGAGUAACCUACCCUUGACUUUGGGAUAACUUCAGGAAACUGGGGCUAAUACCGGAUAGGAGCUCCUGCUGCAUGGUGGGGGUUGGAAAGUUUCGGCGGUUGGGGAUGGACUCGCGGCUUAUCAGCUUGUUGGUGGGGUAGUGGCUCACCAAGGCUUUGACGGGUAGCCGGCCUGAGAGGGUGACCGGCCCCAUCGGAGUGGAACUGCGCCCCGGCCUCCUCCGGGAGGCGACGUGGGAGAAUGUUGCAAAGGGGGGGGAAGCCUAAUCCGACACCGCGGCGUGGGGGGGGACGGCUUGGGGUUUGAAACCCGUUUUCCCGUGUGAGGAGGGGUGAGUGAGGUAAAUGUAUAAGGAAGCCCGGGCUAACUAGGUG